RNAcentral lists this transfer RNA (67 nucleotides) under Marmota monax (woodchuck). RNAcentral describes it as "tRNA.Ala". Lineage: Eukaryota; Metazoa; Chordata; Mammalia; Rodentia; Sciuridae. The record is from RNAcentral.
GGUCAUGGCUCAGCGGUAGAGCGCUCACCUAGCAUGUGUGAAGCCCUGGGUUCGAGCCUUAGCACCA